RNAcentral lists this long non-coding RNA (370 nucleotides) under Homo sapiens (human). RNAcentral's name for it is "HSALNT0053039". Lineage: Eukaryota; Metazoa; Chordata; Mammalia; Primates; Hominidae. The record is from RNAcentral.
AAACCCUGUAUCUAGCUUUGGGGGCUGUGAAGAACAUCUCCCUAAACAUCUCUAUCUCCAACCUCGGAGAUGAUGCCUAUGAUGCCAACGUGUCCUUCAAUGUUUCCCGGGAGCUCUUCUUCAUCAACAUGUGGCAGAAGGAGGAGAUGGGCAUCUCCUGUGAGCUGCUGGAAUCGGACUUCCUCAAAUGCAGCGUGGGAUUUCCUUUCAUGAGGUCAAAGUCAAAGUAUGAAUUCAGCGUGAUCUUUGAUACAAGCCACCUGUCUGGGGAAGAGGAAGUUCUCAGCUUCAUUGUUACUGCUCAGAGGCAUUGGUGAAGAUAUGGUCUGACUGCCCCGGAGGGCACCCACACACAGCGCUUGACUCCCUG